This 215-nucleotide ribosomal RNA is filed under the name Novotettix naracoortensis. RNAcentral's name for it is "partial large subunit ribosomal RNA". It matches the Rfam family "Eukaryotic large subunit ribosomal RNA", at positions 75 to 273 of the family's 3401-position model. The record is from RNAcentral. Lineage: Eukaryota; Metazoa; Arthropoda; Insecta; Orthoptera; Rhaphidophoridae.
UUCCCUUAGUAGCGGCGAGCGAACAGGGAGAAGCCCAGCACCGAAUCUCGCGGGUUAACGCUCGCCGAGAAAUGUGGUGUUUGGGAGGGUCCGUUCAUCCCGGGGUUUUGCGGCGAGUCCAAGUCCAUCUUGAAUGGGGCCACGGCCCAAAGAGGGUGCCAGGCCCGUAGGACCGUUGCUGAUCGCGGGAGGAUCUCUCCUUAGAGUCGGGUUGC